RNAcentral lists this ribosomal RNA (254 nucleotides) under uncultured bacterium. Its description in RNAcentral is "partial 16S ribosomal RNA". It matches the Rfam family "Bacterial small subunit ribosomal RNA", at positions 524 to 776 of the family's 1533-position model. The record is from RNAcentral.
UACGGAGGGUGCGAGCAUUAAUCGGAUUUAUUGGGCGUAAAGGGCGCGUAGGCGGGAAGGUAAGUCAGAUGUGAAAUCCCGGGGCUCAACCCCGGAACAGCAUUUGAAACUGCCUUUCUAAGAGGAUGGACGGAGAAAAUGGAAUUCCACAAGUAGCGGUGAAAUGCGUAGAUAUGUGGAAGAACACCAGUGGCGAAGGCGAUUUUCUAGUUUAUACCUGACGCUAAAGCGCGAAAGCUAGGGGAGCAAACAGG